RNAcentral lists this ribosomal RNA (434 nucleotides) under uncultured bacterium. RNAcentral's name for it is "partial 16S ribosomal RNA". It matches the Rfam family "Bacterial small subunit ribosomal RNA", at positions 29 to 506 of the family's 1533-position model. The record is from RNAcentral.
AGCGAACGCUGGCGGCAUGCUUAACACAUGCAAGUCGCACGGAUCUUUCGGGAUCAGUGGCGGACGGGUGAGUAACGCGUAGGGAUCUAUCCAUGGGUGGGGGACAACUCCGGGAAACUGGAGCUAAUACCGCAUGAUACCUGAGGGUCAAAGGCGCAAGUCGCCUGUGGAGGAACCUGCGUUCGAUUAGCUAGUUGGUGGGGUAAAGGCCUACCAAGGCGAUGAUCGAUAGCUGGUUUGAGAGGAUGAUCAGCCACACUGGGACUGAGACACGGCCCAGACCCCUACGGGAGGCAGCAGUGGGGAAUUUUGGAAAAUGGGCGAAAGCCUGAUCCAGCAAUGCCGGGUGUGUGAAGAAGGUCUUCGGAUUGUAAAGCACUUUCGACGGGGACGAUGAUGACGGUACCCGUAGAAGAAGCCCCGGCUAACUUCGU